This 449-nucleotide ribosomal RNA is filed under the name uncultured bacterium. RNAcentral describes it as "partial 16S ribosomal RNA". It matches the Rfam family "Bacterial small subunit ribosomal RNA", at positions 29 to 523 of the family's 1533-position model. The record is from RNAcentral.
AACGAACGCUGGCGGCAGGCCUAACACAUGCAAGUCGAACGCUGUAGCAAUACAAAGUGGCAGACGGGUGAGUAACGCGUGGGAACCUUCCCAAUGGUACGGAAUAGCCCAGGGAAACUUGGGGUAAUACCGUAUACGCCCCUAGGGGGAAAGAUUUAUCGCCAUUGGAUGGGCCCGCGUCGGAUUAGCUAGUUGGGGAGGUAAUGGCUCACCAAGGCAACGAUCCGUAGCUGGUUUGAGAGAAUGACCAGCCACACUGGGACUGAGACACGGCCCAGACUCCUACGGGAGGCAGCAGUGGGGAAUCUUGGACAAUGGGCGCAAGCCUGAUCCAGCCAUGCCGCGUGAGUGUCGAAGGCCUUAGGGUUGUAAAGCUCUUUUGCCGGGGACGAUAAUGACGGUACCCGGAGAAUAAGUCCCGGCUAACUUCGUGCCAGCCGCCGCCGUAA